Molecule: ribosomal RNA, 426 nt
Filed under: uncultured bacterium
Lineage: Bacteria
Description: bacterial SSU rRNA
Rfam family: Bacterial small subunit ribosomal RNA
Source: RNAcentral
UACGCUGGCGGCACGCCUAACACAUGCAAGUCGAACGCAGUAGCAAUACUGAGUGGCAAACGGGUGAGUAUAAUGUGGGAAUCUGCCUUUUGGUUUGGAAUAACACGAGGAAACUUGUGCUAAUACCGAAUAAGCCCUUACGGGGAAAGUUUUAACGCCGAAAGAUGAGCCUGCACUUGAUUAGCUAGUUGGUAAGGUAAAAGCUUACCAAGGCAACGAUCAAUAGCUGUUCUUAGAGGAAGACCAGCCACAUUGGGACUGAGACACGGCCCAGACUCCUACGGGAGGCAGCAGUGGGGAAUCUUGCACAAUGGGGGAAACCCUGAUGCAGCGAUGCCGCGUGAGUGAAGAAGGCCUUUGGGUUGUAAAACUCUUUCGUCGGGGAAGAAAAUGACUGUACCCGAAUAAGAAGGUCCGGCUAACUUC